CACACCUUUAAGCUCAGGGUAUUGGUGGCACACAUCUUUAAGUUUAGGGCGUUGGUGGCAUACGCCUUUAAUCCCACCACUCGGAGUAAGAGGCAGAUGGAUCUUUAUGAGUUCAAGGCCUGCCUGGUCCGGCAGAUCGAAUUCCAGGACAGGCUCCAAAGUCACAGAAAAACCCUGCCUCAGAAAGAAGUUAAGCUACUAUUUAAGGAAUAUAAGGUAGCUCUAUACAGUUUUAAGUUCAGCUGUGCUGUUUCAAACAUUUUACUAAGUUAAAACCAGUUACAGUCAGACUAAAAAUCAUUUACAGAAAUAAGACCUUACCUAGCCACCUGUAUGCUUAAGGCAAUGUGUGCUUAAGGCAAGUAACUAAAACAGACAAACAGACCUCUAAUGCUUCAGAGAUCUUCAGAAUAUGGCAUUCAAAUUGUUAUCUUUAAAGUUUAUAAUGUCAGACAGACUGCCAGAUCCGGACAGUGACCAAAGAAGUCUCCAAAGAAGAUUACGAGGCACCUCAGUUCCUGCACCUGGACCAGUGAGCGAGAUGCUCAGAUGUGAAACCUGCCGCCUGCCAGAACCUGGCCGAGAAUAUGGACAAAGCUGCUGGACACUGGAAAAUUGAUUGUACCCCUUUGCCUAGACAAAACAAGGUUUCUGCUUCUGGCUGACAUCUGAGUAUCAGUUGCUGACUACAGGCUGUUCUAAGUAGACUGCGAGCCCUGGACUUGCUGUGGAUGUGAACCAGUCCAGCUGAUAUGGACACCCCCUGUCUCUGCAACAGUGUCUGCUAACCAGAAGCCCCUGAUGGAUUCCCCAUUGCCUAAAUUCCUUUUUGCUUUUGACUAGCAUUUCAACCUUCUGGGGUCCCUAACUUCGUCCCAAAGUCAGCAGGAAGCAGUUUGGAAAGAAAUUUCGCCGUCCAUUUUCCCUGGUUAAAAUGCUAAGUCAAAAGGAACUCCCUUACAUGGGGAUGCCAAUAUCUAUCACUCCCUGAUGGGGAUGCUAGAGAGACAGCAAUUCCAUGAUUGGAAUUUACAAAAAAGAAAAUGGGGGAAUGAAGGAACCAGCUUCCUUUUGGCAGCCAUAACAGCCGAACACGUGCUUGCCAUAAACCUGCCUUGGUCACGUAGAG
RNAcentral lists this long non-coding RNA (1129 nucleotides) under Cricetulus griseus (Chinese hamster). RNAcentral describes it as "lncRNA (ENSCGRG00015042099.1)". Lineage: Eukaryota; Metazoa; Chordata; Mammalia; Rodentia; Cricetidae. The record is from RNAcentral.